AUGACACCACACAGAGAUCACCUUUGUGCCAUCAACUCUGUGCCUUCUCCACUUAUGGUUCAGACUGCAGAUGGCACUUCUCUUCCUGUUGCCGCAAGAGGGACUCUUUCCACGUCUUCUUUUCAUGUCCCUGCCGUUUCUCAUGUUAAUAAACUGACUAUGCAACUUCUAUCUACUGGUCAACUUACUGACUUGGGUUGUCGUAUUAUUCUGGAUUCUGACUCUUGUUGUGUUCAUGAUCGUCAUACGGGGACUCUGGUUGGGAUCGGUCCUCGGUGCCAUGACUCUCAGUGCCUUUGGGUCCUGCCCCCUUUGUUUUGA
This 321-nucleotide ribosomal RNA is filed under the name Triticum aestivum (bread wheat). RNAcentral's name for it is "partial small subunit ribosomal RNA". Lineage: Eukaryota; Viridiplantae; Streptophyta; Magnoliopsida; Poales; Poaceae. The record is from RNAcentral.